Non-coding RNA from Collybiopsis luxurians FD-317 M1, 103 nucleotides. NCBI's taxonomy places the organism in Eukaryota, Fungi, Basidiomycota, Agaricomycetes, Agaricales, Omphalotaceae. The record is from the annotation of a GenBank genome assembly.
GGUUCGAUGGCGUAGUUGGUUAUCGCAUCUGUCUAACAUCGCUGGAAGGUAUUUGGCCAAGUUUGUACACAGAAGGUCCCCAGUUCGAGCCUGGGUCGAAUCA